UGAGGAAUAUUGGGCAAUGCCCGAAAGGGUGGCCCAGCAACGCCGCGUGGAGGAUGAAGGUCGUAAGAUUGUAAACUCCUGUUAGAGGGGAAGAAUAACUAAGUUUGGAGCUUAGUAUGACUGUACCCUCAGAGAAAGCCCCGGCUAACUACGUGCCAGCAGCCGCGGUAAUACGUAGGGGGCAAGCGUUGUCCGGAUUUACUGGGUGUAAAGGGCGCGCAGGCGGAAUGGAAAGUCAGUGGUGAAAUCCUACAGCUUAACUGUAGAACUGCCUUUGAUACUUUCAUUCUUGAGUUCGGGAGAGAGUGACGGAAUUCCGGGUGUAGUGGUGAAAUACGUAGAUAUCUGGAAGAACACCAGUUGCGAAGGCGGUCUCUUGGUCCGAUACUGACGCUGAGGCGCGAAAGCGUGGGGAGCAAACA
Molecule: ribosomal RNA, 422 nt
Filed under: uncultured bacterium
Lineage: Bacteria
Description: bacterial SSU rRNA
Rfam family: Bacterial small subunit ribosomal RNA
Source: RNAcentral